CAACCUGCCGCUUACUCGGGGAUAGCCUUUCGAAAGAAAGAUUAAUACCCGAUGGUAUAAAGAGUUCGCAUGUUCUCUUUAUUAAAGAAUUUCGGUAAGCGAUGGGGAUGCGUUCCAUUAGAUUGUUGGCGGGGUAACGGCCCACCAAGUCUACGAUGGAUAGGGGUUCUGAGAGGAAGGUCCCCCUCAUUGGAACUGAGACACGGUCCAAACUCCUACGGGAGGCAGCAGUGAGGAAUAUUGGUCAAUGGACGAGAGUCUGAACCAGCCAAGUAGCGUGAAGGAUGACUGCCCUAUGGGUUGUAAACUUCUUUUAUAAGGGAAUAAAGUGAGGGACGUGUCCCUUCUUGUAUGUACCUUAUGAAUAAGGAUCGGCUAACUCCGUGCCAGCAGCCGCGGUAAUACGGAGGAUCCGAGCGUUAUCCGGAUUUAUUGGGUUUAAAGGGAGCGUAGGUUGACGUAUAAGUCAGCUGUGAAAGUUUACGGCUCAACCGUGAAAUUGCAGUUGAUACAGUAUGUCUUGAGUGUACAAGAGGUGGGCGGAAUUCGUGGUGUAGCGGUGAAAUGCUUAGAUAUCACGAAGAACUCCGAUUG
RNAcentral lists this ribosomal RNA (594 nucleotides) under uncultured Bacteroidota bacterium. Its description in RNAcentral is "bacterial SSU rRNA". It matches the Rfam family "Bacterial small subunit ribosomal RNA", at positions 122 to 715 of the family's 1533-position model. Lineage: Bacteria; Pseudomonadati; Bacteroidota. The record is from RNAcentral.